This 203-nucleotide unclassified non-coding RNA is filed under the name Hevea brasiliensis (rubber tree). The record is from RNAcentral. Lineage: Eukaryota; Viridiplantae; Streptophyta; Magnoliopsida; Malpighiales; Euphorbiaceae.
GUUUGUAAGAUUAACCAUUAAGAGAAAUCAAAUUGUUAGAACUAAAGUCAUAAGUUUUAACUUUUUGUUAUGUGGUAGCAAUAAUAAAAAAUACAUAAAAAAAUAGAAAAAUGCAUGAAAAUGAUGAAAUUUUAUGGCAAUGAUCCUAAGACAUCAAUGAAGAACUUAGAAAAAAGAAAUAAUAAAAAAGAGUAACAGAAAAA